AAUAUUGCGCAAUGGAGGAAACUCUGACGCAGCAACGCCGCGUGAAGGAAGAAGGCCUUCGGGUUGUAAACUUCUUUGAUCGGGGACGAAAAUGACGGUACCCGAGGAACAAGCCACGGCUAACUACGUGCCAGCAGCCGCGGUAAUACGUAGGUGGCAAGCGUUGUCCGGAAUUACUGGGUGUAAAGGGCGUGUAGGCGGGGGAGCAAGUCAGAUGUGAAAGCCCAUGGCUUAACUGUGGAACUGCAUCUGAAACUGUUCUUCUUGAGUGCUGGAGAGGAAAGUGGAAUUCCUAGUGUAGCGGUGAAAUGCGUAGAGAUUAGGAGGAACACCAGUGGCGAAGGCGGCUUUCUGGACAGUAACUGACGCUGAGGCGCGAAAGCGUGGGGAGCAAACAGG
Molecule: ribosomal RNA, 399 nt
Filed under: uncultured bacterium
Lineage: Bacteria
Description: partial 16S ribosomal RNA
Rfam family: Bacterial small subunit ribosomal RNA
Source: RNAcentral